UGCAGGGGACAUAGGACUUCAUGAAAAAUUCAUGACAGUUUCUAUUAAAAAAUUAUGAAAUGUGUAAAUUACAGAGGAUCUUUAAAAAUCAAAUCCUGUUUUUAACACACAACCUCUUGUAAUUCUCCUUGCUUCAUCACUGCAGUUUGGUGGAAGCACCUCCUGUGUCGGAGAAGCUGCCUUUGGACACCUACACUCUAGGUUGAUAACCACUGAAUUACAAUGAGUCAUGUAAGACUGUGAUCACUUAGUCAUAAGUUCAAUAACCCACUUACAUAACCCUAUAAUGUUAAUUCAAAUAUACUCAGCUUGGAUUUCUCCAUAGCCACCACCCUCAAACUGA
This 343-nucleotide long non-coding RNA is filed under the name Bos taurus (domestic cattle). Its description in RNAcentral is "long non-coding RNA NONBTAT016537". The record is from RNAcentral. Lineage: Eukaryota; Metazoa; Chordata; Mammalia; Artiodactyla; Bovidae.